This 469-nucleotide ribosomal RNA is filed under the name uncultured bacterium. RNAcentral's name for it is "partial 16S ribosomal RNA". It matches the Rfam family "Bacterial small subunit ribosomal RNA", at positions 28 to 507 of the family's 1533-position model. The record is from RNAcentral.
GACGAACGCUGGCGGCGUGCUUAACACAUGCAAGUCGAACGGUGAAGCGAGUGCUUGCACUCGUGGAUCAGCGGCGAACGGGUGAGUAACACGUGAGUAACCUGCCCAUCACUCUGGGAUAAGCACUGGAAACGGUGCCUAAUACUGGAUACGACCAACCCUUGCAUGGGGUGUUGGUGGAAAGAUUUAUCGGUGAUGGAUGGACUCGCGGCCUAUCAGCUUGUUGGCGGGGUAAUGGCCCACCAAGGCGACGACGGGUAGCCGGCCUGAGAGGGUGACCGGCCACACUGGGACUGAGACACGGCCCAGACUCCUACGGGAGGCAGCAGUGGGGAAUAUUGCACAAUGGGCGAAAGCCUGAUGCAGCGACGCCGCGUGAGGGAUGGCGGCCUUCGGGUUGUAAACCUCUUUCAGCAGGGAAGAAGCGAAAGUGACGGUACCUGCAGAAGAAGCACCGGCUAACUACGUG